AAAUAGUAGGGUUUCCUGUAGUAAUCAGGUAGAGUUUUUACUUCAUGAUAUUGGAAGUAAAUAAGUAGUCAAAACAUGACAGCUUUACUAUACAUGCUUUUCGCAACCACAGAAGAAGACAAAACAGGAAGUAGUUGGUUGUUGUUAGCUAGCUACUGUUUUUAACAAUCCCGAAUGUAAUCUUCCAUCCUUCGCCAUCCUGUCUUUUAUAACCCAUCUGAGGCCCUCAACAUAAGAAGACUGGAGGCCAUUGUUGGACCUGAGCCCUAGGACCAUGCCCCAGGACUACCUGACAUGAUGACUCCUUGCUGUCCCCAGUCCACCUGACCGUGCUGCUGCUCCAGUUUCAACUGUUCUGCCUUAUUAUUAUUCGACCAUGCUGGUCAUUUAUGAACAUUUGAACAUCUUGGCCAUGUUCUGUUAUAAUCUCCACCCGGCACAGCCAGAAGAGGACUGGCCACCCCACAUAUGCUCUCUCUAAUUCUCUCUUUCUUUCUCUCUCUCGGAGGACCUGAGCCCUAGGACCAUGCCCCAAGACUACCUGACAUGAUGACUCCUUGCUGUCCCCAGUCCACCUGACCGUGUUGCUGCUCCAGUUUCAACUGUUCUGCCUUAUUAUUAUAUGACCAUGCUGGUCAUUUAUGAACAUUUGAACAUCUUGGCCAUGUUCUGUAUUAAUCUCCACCCGGCACAGCCAGAAGAGGACUGGCCACCCCACAUAGCCUGGUUCCUCUCUAGGUUUCUUCCUAGGUUUUGUCCUUUCUAGGGAGUUUUUCCUAGCCACCGUGCUUCUAUACCUGCAUUGCUUGCUGUUUGGGGUUUUAGGCUGGGUUUCUGUUCAGCACUUUGAGAUAUCAGCUGAUGUACGAAGGGCUAUAUAAAUAAAUUCGAUUUGAUUUGAUUUGAGAGAGGGUGAGAUUGUGGAUGAGACAGACUCUGGGGUUUAUAGAUCCAUUGUUGUUGCUCUCUGCAGAAAUAGGUUGCAUUUAUUCUCUCAAAGGAGAAGGGAGCUACACAUCUCUUCCUCCUCCUUAUCAUCCUAUUUUUUCUCUCUCAGGGGGGCUGCAUGCAAAGAUCCACUCCUAAUAAUCUUUAUGACCUCCAAAGUUCGUCAGGAAACGUUUAUCUUUCUCUUCCUCUGAACACUCAAACGUGGCUGUCAUGCUUCUCCACAGCUAGCGAAGCUGUGACACCGCUAAAUGUUUAUUGAUGCGUCACUAAAAUGUUUAUCUUCUUUGGUGAACUUGCCAUAUAAUGGCCAGGGAGUUGAACAUUUCAAAUAUGAAAUCUGCCCAUUUCCAAGUGGCCAUGUCAAAUUGUCAGACAGAGUAUUUGCUUGAUGCUGUCUGAGUGCUGGCUGGUAAAAACAAUAAAUAAAUUGCUCUGUCUCCUCUCUGGCUAAGGGUGUCCUCUUAUAACUGCACAGAGAGAGGGAGGAGGGGAGAGGAGAGGAAAGAAAGUGAGAAAGAUGGGCAUAGAGAG
Long non-coding RNA from Oncorhynchus tshawytscha (Chinook salmon), 1482 nucleotides. Lineage: Eukaryota; Metazoa; Chordata; Actinopteri; Salmoniformes; Salmonidae. The record is from Ensembl.